AGAUUGAACGCUGGCGGCAUGCCUAACACAUGCAAGUCGAACGGGAGUAGCAAUACUCUAGUGGCGGACGGGUGAGGAAUACGUAGGAAUUUGCCCUUAAGUGGGGGAUAACCCGGGGAAACCCGGAUUAAUACCGCAUGACCUCGAAAGAGCAAAGUGGGGGAUCGCAAGACCUCACGCUUUUGGAGAAGCCUACGUCGGAUUAGCUAGUUGGUGAGGUAAUGGCUCACCAAGGCGACGAUCCGUAACUGGUCUGAGAGGAUGAUCAGUCACACCGGAACUGAGACACGGUCCGGACUCCGUACGGGAGGCAGCAGGUGGGGAAUAUUGGACAAGU
Molecule: ribosomal RNA, 337 nt
Filed under: uncultured soil bacterium
Lineage: Bacteria
Description: bacterial SSU rRNA
Rfam family: Bacterial small subunit ribosomal RNA
Source: RNAcentral